Molecule: ribosomal RNA, 325 nt
Filed under: uncultured eukaryote
Lineage: Eukaryota
Description: partial 18S ribosomal RNA
Rfam family: Eukaryotic small subunit ribosomal RNA
Source: RNAcentral
CCCUUAGAUGUUCUGGGCCGCACGCGCGCUACACUGAUGCAUUCAACGAGCCUAUCCUUGACCGACAGGUCCGGGUAAUCUUUGAAUCUGCAUCGUGACGGGGAUAGAUUAUUGCAAUUAUUAAUCUUCAACGAGGAAUGCCUAGUAGGCGCAAGUCAUCAGCUUGCGUCGAUUACGUCCCUGCCCUUUGUACACACCGCCCGUCGCUCCUACCAAUUGGGUGUGCUGGUGAAAUGUUCGGAUCGGCCGUUUGUCGCGGUUUCCGCGUCAUGUGGCUGAGAAGUUCAUUAAACCCUCCCACCUAGAGGAAGGAGAAGUCGUAACA